UUACUUGCUAGCAGAUUUGCAAAUUUUUGUCUGCACAUAACAAUGGUGGUUAGGGUUUUCAAUUUUGCAACUUAUGUUUAAUUUUUUUUUAUUUUUUUUGCCAUGUUAGUUCAAUUGAUGGGUUCAGGGACUCUGAUAUUGAAGCCUCACAUAAGUCAACAAUGUCCUAAAGGAUGGUUGUGAAAGCACAACACUCGACUCAAGGAAGGGAAUGCACCAUCAUACAUGUUGGAAUACCCUGGAUUGGACCUGAGCAUAGCUUUCUGAAAGAUCGAGGUUGUGCCGAAUAGUAUAUCAUCACUGAUGAAGAAGCAUUGGAAGGUACGGGGGAUGCUAUUUGCUAAAGAUGUCCAUAAACAGCUGUCUCAAAUAAUGCAGAAGAUUGCAAUAG
Molecule: long non-coding RNA, 391 nt
Organism: Helianthus annuus (common sunflower)
Lineage: Eukaryota; Viridiplantae; Streptophyta; Magnoliopsida; Asterales; Asteraceae
Exons: 4
Source: RefSeq, a predicted model, not a curated record